Molecule: ribosomal RNA, 329 nt
Filed under: uncultured eukaryote
Lineage: Eukaryota
Description: partial 18S ribosomal RNA
Rfam family: Eukaryotic small subunit ribosomal RNA
Source: RNAcentral
CCCUUAGAUGUCCUGGGCCGCACGCGCGUUACACUGAUGCAUUCAACGAGCUUAUAACCUUGGCCGAGAGGCCUGGGCAAUCUUGUUAACGUGCAUCGUGAUAGGGAUAGAUUAUUGCAAUUAUUAAUCUUCAACGAGGAAUGCCUAGUAAGCGUGAUUCAUCAAAUCGCGUUGAUUACGUCCCUGCCCUUUGUACACACCGCCCGUCGCUCCUACCGAUUGAAUGUGUUGGUGAGGAGCUCGGAUUGGCAGCAGUUGGUGGUUCGCCACCGGCUAUUGCUGAGAAGUCCUCCAAACCGCCCCAUUUAGAGGAAGGAGAAGUCGUAACA